UACGGGGGGGGCAAGCGUUGUUCGGAAUUACUGGGCGUAAAGGGCUCGUAGGCGGCCAACUAAGUCGGAUGUGAAAUCCCCAGGCUCAACCUGGGAACUGCAUCCGAUACUGGAUGGCUUGAAUUCAGGAGAGGGAUGCAGAAUUCCAGGUGUAGCGGUGAAAUGCGUAGAUAUCUGGAGGAAUACCGGUGGCGAAGGCGGCAUCCUGGACCGACAUUGACGCUGAGGAGCGAAAGCCAGGGGAGCAAACGGG
Molecule: ribosomal RNA, 253 nt
Filed under: uncultured bacterium
Lineage: Bacteria
Description: partial 16S ribosomal RNA
Rfam family: Bacterial small subunit ribosomal RNA
Source: RNAcentral